Molecule: ribosomal RNA, 137 nt
Filed under: Frankliniella fusca
Lineage: Eukaryota; Metazoa; Arthropoda; Insecta; Thysanoptera; Thripidae
Description: partial 5.8S ribosomal RNA
Rfam family: 5.8S ribosomal RNA
About the family: 5.8S ribosomal RNA (5.8S rRNA) is a component of the large subunit of the eukaryotic ribosome.
Source: RNAcentral
CCCUGGCUUGUGGGUCGAAGAAGAAAGCAGCUAAUUGCGCGUUGCCAUGUGAACUGCAGGACACAUGAACAUUGACAAUUCGAACGCACAUUGCGGCCCUAGGACUUGUUCCUGGGCCACACCUGACUGAGGGUCGG